RNAcentral lists this ribosomal RNA (854 nucleotides) under uncultured bacterium. RNAcentral describes it as "bacterial SSU rRNA". It matches the Rfam family "Bacterial small subunit ribosomal RNA", at positions 67 to 896 of the family's 1533-position model. The record is from RNAcentral.
UAUCACGGGGUAGCAAUAUUCCGUGGUGAGAGUGGCGCAAGGGUGCGUAACACGUGGGCAAUUUGCCGUGAAGCUUGGGAUAACUCGCUGAAAGGCGAGCUAAUACCGGAUGUGAUUUCUGGGGGGCAUCCUCUGGAACUUAAAGCUGGGGACCGUAAGGCCUGGCACUUCACGAUAAGCCCGCGGCCUAUCAGCUAGUUGGUGAGGUAACGGCUCACCAAGGCUAAGACGGGUAGCUGGUCUGAGAGGACGACCAGCCACACUGGAACUGAGACACGGUCCAGACACCUACGGGUGGCAGCAGUCGAGAAUUUUUCACAAUGGGCGAAAGCCUGAUGGAGCGACGCCGCGUGGGGGAUGAAUGGCUUCGGCCCGUAAACCCCUGUCAUUUGCGAACAAACCUCGUUAUUUAAAAGAUGACGAGUUGAUAGUAGCGAAAGAGGAAGGGACGGCUAACUCUGUGCCAGCAGCCGCGGUAAUACAGAGGUCCCGAGCGUUGUUCGGAUUCACUGGGCGUAAAGGGUGCGUAGGUGGUCGGGUAAGUCUGAUGUGAAAUCUCCAAGCUCAACUUGGAAAUGGCAUCGGAUACUAUUCGGCUUGAGGGUUGGAGGGGAGACUGGAAUUCUCGGUGUAGCAGUGAAAUGCGUAGAUAUCGAGAGGAACACCAGCGGCGAAGGCGAGUCUCUAGACAACUCCUGACACUGAGGCACGAAAGCCAGGGGAGCAAACGGGAUUAGAUACCCCGGUAGUCCUGGCCCUAAACGGUGCACGUUUGCUGUAAGAGGAAUCGACCCCUUUUGUGGCGAAGCUAACGCGUUAAACGUGCCGCCUGGGAAGUACGGGCCGCAAGGUUA